This 471-nucleotide ribosomal RNA is filed under the name uncultured bacterium. RNAcentral describes it as "bacterial SSU rRNA". It matches the Rfam family "Bacterial small subunit ribosomal RNA", at positions 335 to 803 of the family's 1533-position model. The record is from RNAcentral.
ACUCCUACGGGAGGCAGCAGUGGGGAAUAUUGCACAAUGGGGGAAACCCUGAUGCAGCCAUGCCGCGUGUGUGAAGAAGGCCUUCGGGUUGUAAAGCACUUUCAGUAGGGAGGAAGGUAGUGUAGUUAACACCUGCAUUAUUUGACGUUACCUACAGAAGAAGCACCGGCUAACUCCGUGCCAGCAGCCGCGGUAAUACGGAGGGUGCGAGCGUUAAUCGGAAUUACUGGGCGUAAAGCGCAUGCAGGCGGCUUGUUAAGUCAGAUGUGAAAGCCCGGGGCUUAACCUCGGAAUUGCAUUUGAAACUGGCAGGCUAGAGUCUUGUAGAGGGGUUAGAAUUUCAGGUGUAGCGGUGAAAUGCGUAGAGAUCUGAAGGAAUACCAGUGGCGAAGGCGGCCCCUGGACAAAGACUGACGCUCAGAUGCGAAAGCGUGGGAGCAAACAGGAUUAGAUACCCCUGGUAGCGACUGA